Molecule: ribosomal RNA, 251 nt
Filed under: uncultured prokaryote
Description: partial 16S rRNA
Rfam family: Bacterial small subunit ribosomal RNA
Source: RNAcentral
ACGUAGGGGGCCAGCGUUGUCCGGAAUUACUGGGCGUAAAGCGCGCGCAGGCGGUCUAGUAAGCAGCGGGUGAAAUUCCGGGGCUCAACCCUGGGGCUGCUUGCUGAACUGCUAGACUAGAGUACGGGAGAGGGCAGUGGAAUUCCUGGUGUAGCGGUGGAAUGCGUAAAUAUCAGGAAGAACACCCGUGGCGAAGGCUGCUGCCUGGAACGUUACUGACGCUGAGGCGCGAAAGCUAGGGGAGCGAACGG